RNAcentral lists this ribosomal RNA (446 nucleotides) under uncultured bacterium. RNAcentral describes it as "bacterial SSU rRNA". It matches the Rfam family "Bacterial small subunit ribosomal RNA", at positions 354 to 796 of the family's 1533-position model. The record is from RNAcentral.
GUGAGGAAUAUUGGUCAAUGGGCGCAAGCCUGAACCAGCCAUCCCGCGUGCAGGAAGACGGCCCUAUGGGUUGUAAACUGCUUUUCCAGGGGGAGAAACUUGCGCACGUGUUGCGCAAUUGACGGUACCCUGGGAAUAAGCAUCGGCUAACUCCGUGCCAGCAGCCGCGGUAAUACGGAGGAUGCGAGCGUUAUCCGGAUUCAUUGGGUUUAAAGGGUGCGUAGGCGGACUAUUAAGUCAGUGGUGAAAUCCUGCAGCUUAACUGCAGAACUGCCAUUGAUACUGAUAGCCUUGAGUUUGGUUAAGGUAGGCGGAAUGUGUAAUGUAGCGGUGAAAUGCUUAGAUAUUACACAGAACACCAAUUGCGUAGGCAGCUUACUGAGCCGACACUGACGCUGAGGCACGAAAGCGUGGGGAUCGAACAGGAUUAGAAACCCUAGUAGUCC